CUCGUAGGCGGUCCGUCACGUCGGAAGUGAAAACCCGGAGCUUAACUCCGGGCCUGCUUUCGAUACGGGCGAACUUGAGUUCGGUAGGGGAGACUGGAACUCCUGGUGUAGCGGUGGAAUGCGCAGAUAUCAGGAAGAACACCAAUGGCGAAGGCAGGUCUCUGGGCCGAUACUGACGCUGAGGAGCGAAAGCGUGGGGAGCAAACA
Molecule: ribosomal RNA, 207 nt
Filed under: uncultured bacterium
Lineage: Bacteria
Description: partial 16S ribosomal RNA
Rfam family: Bacterial small subunit ribosomal RNA
Source: RNAcentral